GCUUGCUUCCCAUGUCAGUGUUUCUGCACUCAUCCUUCUGCCCUCCUCUGAGUUCAGCAGAUGCCUGAACCAUUGGGACUGCCCAGUCUUGGAUUCUGAACCUCCACACUGUCAGCGGAAAUACACCGUUUCCUUUCUAAGAAGCUCCCCUCAGAUGCUUGCAACUGCUGGGACAAAAGGCCAAAACCUGGAGCCGGGAAGCUAAUCCAAGUUUCCCACGUGGGUGACAGGAUCCCUGUUACCUAAGCCAUCACCACUGCCUUCCAGGGUAGCAAAGAAGCAAGAACGAAAUGGUAGAAGUUGCAAGUGGUGCAAAAUAUAUUUUGCACAUAACCGAGAGUACUGUUCUUAUUCUUCAGACCUCGCUUCUGCGAACAGACUCUUAGACUUGGGAACCUGGCUUCUUUGUGCCCACUUAAGGCUUUACCCUUGACCUGCUUUGACAUUGGUCAGUGGGAGUUUGAAGUAAGUAACUCACAUGCUUAGUUCCAGACAGAGAAGAUAGUCUUACGAGGGAACUGUGGAAUCUGAAUUAUAACAGCAAUUGUUGGAAUCUUUUUCUGUCUCGGUUUUGCCUUUGUAAAUACAAUAUUCACCUUCGCUUUCUCCCAAGGAACAUGAAUAGCCUUGGAUAGGAAUUGGUAAAUGAGCCAUGGAGAAUGGGAUGGAAUCAAAUUGAGUGAAAUAAUUUCAGCUGCUGGGAACCCUUAAUAGGCAUGUAAACAAGAAGCGUUUGUUGUGUGUGAGCACUCUCACAGAGGUGUGUGAACUCUUAGCUCUUCAUGCUGGCCACGUUUGGAAGGGUUCCUGUUUAAGUUGCAACAGUCUCCUGCUGGUUCAUUUUUAUUUGAAACUGUGCUCAGUUCAUUAUUUUAUUAUGUUUAGCUUAGAACAAAAGAAAUAUUUUGAAAUAACAGUCCUUUUAAGUUGGUGGGUUGUAGAGGUUACUUCCUAUAGCUUUUCAAAGUACCCCAGCGAUUUUUGGAUAUGUACCUGAAGGGUUAGAGAGAAUGCAUGAGAAAAUAGUAGGAGAAACACACCUAGAAAGUUUUGUAGUGCCUGUAGCUUUAAAAACAAAACAAACCACAAAAAUAACAGGACUAGGUCUUCUUUGCUUUUCUGAUUGCUGAUAGUGCCAUUGUAAGUGUAUCCAAAAUGUUUUGUUUGCUAGAAGAGUAAAGUGAACAUAGUUUUUGAUCUUUUUCUCCCAACUUCCUCAUCCUAUGGUUGCUUUUUAGGCUCCACAAUCAUUUUUGUCAGAGGCUUUGGAGAGCCCAUGCCAACAAGCAGCUUCCUUCUUUGAGACCUGUGUUGGUUGGUACAAGACUGUUUCAUAAAUGGUUUGCAGAGAAGUAUGCUAGCUGCACAAUGUAAGAGGAACAGUUUUAGAAUAAAGGACACAAAGAAACAUCUGCUAGGUUUGUGAUUAAAAUGAUUCCAAAUACACUUCAACAAUGUAUGCAUAAUUUUAAAUAUGGAAUAAACCCCUACAAAUUCGGAGAAAAUCUCCUUACUUUGCCUAAUUAACUGCACGUGAAAGAAAUAACUUAAGGGAGAAUACUGAUUUUCAUGUCCUAUCAGUUGUUAUGUUUCAUAAUAAGCUAGUUUCAUAACAAACUAAUACACUGUUUGCAGUGAUUUGUAACAGAGUGGAAUUUAGUUACAAUUUUGCUGUGCUCUAACCACAGAUUUAACUAUUGCACACAUCUGAUAAAAUUAAGUUUAAUGCUCACUUCAUUUUUUUAUAUUCCUGCUCUACCUUUACUGAACUAGUUACUAAGAAAGAUAAAAUAAUACUAAAUAUUUUAAAUUAAUGAAACCAAAUUGUAAAUCUAAAUAGUAGAAAUCAAAUAAUAAUAUAAUAAGAUGACGGUAUCUUGAUUGCGGACUACUGAAUUUGAUUGUAGACAUCAUCAUCCAAGCAGAUUUCAUGACCAACAGAAUUGUUCUUCACAUCAGCAAAAGUAGCCUGGGAACCAUAAAAUACUUUCGGAAAGGGGAUUGUAAUUUGACAGCAUAGCUUUGAGACUGCUUUGGGUGUAAUCUGUGUUCUUCUCUACAUGUCAAACAGCCCCAGUGAAUGUUACAAUAAUGAAUAUAUAUAUAUAUAUAUGUAUAUAUAUAUAAAGCAACUUCUCAUCUAAAGCUUCUAGGUGAGGAAAAAAAUCUCCUACAUAGAAUUUAGUGAUUUAUUUCUGGCCAGAAAAGGCCUUAUGUUCUUUUUGAAAAUCCCUGGAAAUCGAUUUCUCUUAACUAUCUGUAAUACAAACAUGAAGUACAAAGUCCCUUGUGCUUCAGAUAAUUGAUUGGAAGUUCAAGAUGUAUCAAUGGGAUAGUCUUUCCUAAAAAGAUGGAUUAGAACAGUUAACAUCAGUGACUGUUGAAGACCUUCCCCCAUUUUCUCCGCUUAAACAGCAGGGCUGGACAAGCGACAACCUGAGGGACAAGUCAGUUUUGCUGCCUGUUUCUGUAACAAGUGUUAUUGGAACACAGCCACCUGUGUUCAUUUAUGCAUUUACCAAGAUUGCUGUCAUGAUAUAACCAUAGCAGAAUGAAGGAGCUUCACUAAAACUGUUUGGCCAAAACAGACUGUAGGGCUUACUACACCAUCUGACCAUUUAGGAAAAAAGAAAAAAAAAUUCCCAGCUCCUAUUUUAGAAAAGCUAUCUCACACUUGCAUUUCUGUUUACAUACUUAAACACCAUAUAUGCCUGGCUCAUACUUUUUGACUUCUUUAUUGCCUAAACAAAAAAAGAACUCUUAAUAAAAACACAGUGAAUAGCUGUCUGAGUUUACUCAUUGCCUACUAUGUUCCAGGUCAUGUAUUAAAAUGUCCUCUCUUUUUUUAACUUUGUGGCAAUUUGCUGUGCAUCAAUAUUCCAAUUCUGUUGAUCAUUACUUCAGUGAACUAAGAGAAUGAUUUUUCCAAUAUGUCACAAGCUAGUAUUCUAUGCUUUGAAUACUUUCUACCAGGUCUAUCUUACCAUAAACUUAAAGAUAUUUUCUUGUUUUCUAGUUCCAUUUGUGGAACUAUAUUUCUAAGAGACUACUCUUAUUUUCUCUAAUUAAACAGGAUAAUUGAAAUUAUAAUGUUAAUUAUAUCAAGGAGAAGGAAACUUUGGAUGUAUUUCAAUUUAUUAUUAACUAAGGAUUUAAAUAUUGUUUAAAAAUGUUGCAAUUGUUCUGCCUAUUAUGCUGCCUAAUAUUCUGCUAUAUGACUAUUCCUUGGAGCCAGUGGAGAAUAGGAGCAUCAUUUUAAACUGAGACAUGCUAUGAACAAAGCAAACGAAACUGCUUAUCAUUUUGAAUAUUAAAAAGUACCUUUCUCUGAAGGGAGGAGAGAACUUCCACUUUGACCAUGGCCUUGUCUAAAUAUGAUCAGAGUCAGUGAACUCAGGGGGCUUCCAUAGCCUUGGCAGCUCAUGACAAGAGCCUCGGGUGAUUACUGAGGCCAUAAACAAGAGUGUCAAUUUGUUAAGUCAACAACAGGAGUCACUGUGCACUUACUCCUCAUGUAGGAUCUUUGUCCUUAGUGUGCUGUACAUUGAGAUUUAAUGCUAUAAGUAGUACUCAAACAGUAUUUUUCAUUUUAUGUUUCUGUGUGGGAGCAAACUGUUGAAAUCUUUACUCAAUGUAUUCUAAACUGAUCUUCUGUAUAUAAAGAGAAUGGAAAAUGAAUCUUGAUGUGAAUGGAAGGGGAGAGGGAGUGGGAAAGGGGAG
Molecule: non-coding RNA, 3720 nt
Organism: Oryctolagus cuniculus (rabbit)
Lineage: Eukaryota; Metazoa; Chordata; Mammalia; Lagomorpha; Leporidae
Source: RefSeq, a predicted model, not a curated record